UACAGAGGUCUCAAGCGUUGUUCGGAUUCAUUGGGCGUAAAGGGUGUGUAGGUGGCGCUGUAAGUCGGGUGUGAAAUUUCGGAGCUUAACUCCGAAACUGCAUUCGAUACUGCAGUGCUUGAGGACUGGAGAGGAGACUGGAAUUCAUGGUGUAGCAGUGAAAUGCGUAGAGAUCAUGAGGAAGACCAGUGGCGAAGGCGGGUCUCUGGACAGUUCCUGACACUGAGACACGAAGGCCAGGGGAGCAAACGGG
Molecule: ribosomal RNA, 253 nt
Filed under: uncultured bacterium
Lineage: Bacteria
Description: partial 16S ribosomal RNA
Rfam family: Bacterial small subunit ribosomal RNA
Source: RNAcentral